RNAcentral lists this long non-coding RNA (1959 nucleotides) under Gossypium barbadense (sea-island cotton). RNAcentral describes it as "long non-coding RNA (GBAR_LNC015042)". The record is from RNAcentral. Lineage: Eukaryota; Viridiplantae; Streptophyta; Magnoliopsida; Malvales; Malvaceae.
CUAAUCCCAUUCUAAUCCAAUAUCAGCCACAACAGCCGCAAAAAGAAGGGAAAAGAGAGAAAAAAACUGCUCUAUUCUCUCUUUUACUCCUCACGUCGGCACUCUCCCCCUUUUCAACUCCGACUGAAGCGCAGCAAGGGCACCGACGGCGCACCACCACUAGUAAGAACCUCUUCCUUUCUUCCUUGCUUUUUGCACACAAAACAGAAAAUCAAAGAAAAAAAAGGAAAAUAAAACACAAAGAAAAUCACCUUUCAAAAGAUUUCUUAUUUUUGCUCCAAUUUCCUAUUUUUAUAUAUUUCCUCAAUAAUUUUCUGAUACAAAAAACGCAACCCCCCUUAUUACAAAUUUUAUUUGGCUUUAUAUAGUCGAAAAUAAAAAACUAACUCCCCCAUUUUACAUUUUGUUGUAUUUUCUGCUAUAUUUGCGUUGUAUGCUGUUUGUUUGCUGAAGAACUGGAGGAGAACAUGGGCUAUGCGAGGGCAACGUGCUGCGAUGUUGAGGCGAUUGUUGCAGCGCGGAGGAAGGGAAGCAAGCUGUUGUGUUGUUGAUUUUUUUUUAGUUUGGGUUACUGUUUGGGUUUGGGGCUGUUAAUUGGGCCGAGCAAUUUGGGCUUGUACACCAUGAACUGUAUAUAUGGUCAAAGGACGUUGAAUAGUGGGUAGACUUGUUGCAUAAAUAUUGCCAUGAUGUUUUGGAUACUUUCAUAGCUUAAUUGUUCUUAGGAAUUUUGGACUUGGACCUUAACAUGUUGAUUCUUGUUCGGACAUACUUUUCAUGUUUUGAACUGUUAUUUUGGUUGUUUUGACGAUUGUUGAUAUGGUUAAAGAUGCAUGUUGAAUGGACUUAAGUUAGAUUGGACUAAUUGGUUUAAAAUGUUGUAUUUUGCUGCCUAGAGCAAAAGUAUCGAUAUUCGUGUUUUAAAAAUGAUACCUCCAUAAUUUUUGAAAGUGUAGGAAGUCGGUAUUGUAAUUUGGUAUCGAUACCUUACCACGAGUAUCGAUACUCGGGGUAAAAUAAUUGAUACUUUAAUAAAGGUAAUGAUAUAUUCUAGGUUUUGAUUUUUAGAUGAGAAACAGAAUCCUAUUUUGGUAUCGAUUUUCCAAUCAGUAUCGAUACUAUAUAAGAGAAAUAUCGAUACAUUUGUUUCAGUAUCGAUACCUGUGUAACUUGUUUUAGAAUUUUGCUAAGUGGUUCUUAUGCAUGUUUAAUUAAUAUUAUAAGUUUGUUUGAAGUAUGUUUGGCAUAUUUUAAUGAUGAUUAGUAUAUGCUUGACUUCGAAAUUUGUAGGAAUGCUAAUAAAGAGGACGAUUGCAUAUUAAUGUGACAUUUUAUAAUGUGUGUGAUGCGUGACGGUGGUGUGACAUCUUGAUAUUCAGGCCCAACGACCGGGCUGGGUAUAGGGUGUUACAGAACAAAAAUGAGCAUGAUAUCUAGUCUUUAGUUCUUUCAAAACCAUGUGAAUUCUUUUAUGCUUAGUUGUGCCUGCUAUGACUUAACUUUGUCGUGCUUAUGCUCUUGUUCUUGUAUAAUUAUCAUUGAAAGCUAUAGAUUUGUGUGUUAUGUGUGCUCAUUUCAAAGCAAAGUAAGUGUAGUCAUUUUCAUUUGGGCUUACUAAGCAAUUUAGGCCUAUGUGUUGUUUUGUUUGUGCAUAGAUCUUGCUUUUUGGAUUCACGAAGUCCCGCUCAACCCUGGGAUCAUCACACUAUCAACCAAGCAUUUGAGAGUUUGAAAUUAGUGUAUAUGUGAUUUGUAGCAUGUGUUAGGGUGUCAAACUUGUAUUUAUAAAUUUAUGCUUUCAUAUGUCAUGAAGUACUUGAACUAUUGGUUAAGCAUUGGGUUGUUGAGUAUAUUGGCUCAUUUGAUUAGAUUAAACUUUGAAGUCUAUACGUACUAUUGGUUAAGCAUGCAUACCUUUAUUCCUUUUAUUUUACUCCUUAAAUUGUAUGGUUGUGAAGC